AAAUAAAUUAUUUUGGGUUAUCUGGGUUGCUCGGGUUGGCCCUUAAAAUUCUCAAGUCAAUUCAGGUUUAGUGAUGAAGGUGGUGUUUGACCCUAUUUUCCAAGCAGAUAAAAGCCAGGUAAAAUUGUUGACUCAAGGCACAACUGAAUGACAAGAAUUUUUUAAGAAAAUGGAAAUAUUACUCUGACCACCAAAUAAAAUGUGAAUUUACUUUCCAUGCUACUUAAUA
RNAcentral lists this unclassified non-coding RNA (229 nucleotides) under Hevea brasiliensis (rubber tree). Lineage: Eukaryota; Viridiplantae; Streptophyta; Magnoliopsida; Malpighiales; Euphorbiaceae. The record is from RNAcentral.